GUAGUCCACGCCGUAAACGGUGGGCGCUAGGUGUGGGCAACAUUCCACGUUGUCUGUGCCGCAGCUAACGCAUUAAGCGCCCCGCCUGGGGAGUACGGCCGCAAGGCUGAAACUCAAAGGAAUUGACGGGGGCCCGCACAAGCGGCGGAGCAUGUGGCUUAAUUCGAUGCAACGCGAAGAACCUUACCUGGGUUUGACAUGCAGGGAAAUCUCGUAGAGAUACGGGGUCCGCAAGGGCCUUGCACAGGUGGUGCAUGGCUGUCGUCAGCUCGUGUCGUGAGAUGUUGGGUUAAGUCCCGCAACGAGCGCAACCCUCGUCCUAUGUUGCCAGCGAGUCAUGUCGGGGACUCAUAGGAGACUGCCGGGGUCAACUCGGAGGAAGGUGGGGAUGACGUCAAGUCAUCAUGCCCCUUAUGUCCAGGGCUGCACACAUGCUACAAUGGCCGGUACAAAGGGCUGCUAAGCCGUGAGGUGGAGCGAAUCCCAAAAAGCCGGUCUCAGUUCGGAUCGGGGUCUGCAACUCGACCCCGUGAAGUCGGAGUCGCUAGUAAUCGCAGAUCAGCAACGCUGCGGUGAAUACGUUCCCGGGCCUUGUACACACCGCCCGUCACGUCACGAAAGUCGGUAACACCCGAAGCCGGUGGCCCAACCCAUUCGUGGGGGGGAGCCGUCGAAGGUGGGAUCGGCGAUUGGGACG
RNAcentral lists this ribosomal RNA (697 nucleotides) under uncultured bacterium. RNAcentral's name for it is "bacterial SSU rRNA". It matches the Rfam family "Bacterial small subunit ribosomal RNA", at positions 790 to 1482 of the family's 1533-position model. The record is from RNAcentral.